UACGAAGGGGGCUAGCGUUGCUCGGAAUCACUGGGCGUAAAGCGCACGUAGGCGGAUUGCUAAGUCAGGGGUGAAAUCCUGGAGCUCAACUCCAGAACUGCCUUUGAUACUGGCGACCUUGAGUCCGGGAGAGGUGAGUGGAACUGCGAGUGUAGAGGUGAAAUUCGUAGAUAUUGGGAAGAACACCGGUGGCGAAGGCGGCGACCUGGUCCGAUACUGACGCUGAGGCGCGAAAGCGUGGGGAGCAAACAGG
RNAcentral lists this ribosomal RNA (253 nucleotides) under uncultured bacterium. RNAcentral's name for it is "partial 16S ribosomal RNA". It matches the Rfam family "Bacterial small subunit ribosomal RNA", at positions 524 to 776 of the family's 1533-position model. The record is from RNAcentral.